GAAGUUAGUGCUACUGCACUCUUAGGCCAACAUCAACUUCAUGUAGUAAUACAUGGAAAAUCUUUGUUCUUAAAACCUAUUGCACUGCACAGUAUAUGCAAUAUUCGUGAGACAGAAGAAAUGGAAUCAGGUGAAAUCAGUUGUUUGUCAAAGUAGGAAGUAGCACAAUCAGGUGUGGUACAUGUCCCCACUUAGCAAUCACUGCAUGUUUAAAUCACUUGUGUUGCAGGUAAAUGCUUUAGGGUACAGUGGCACUGCCAUCAUCCAUAUUGAGUCUCUUUUUGAUAACACAGCAGAUCUACUGAAGUCUUUGUAAAGGGACAUACAAGAAAUACUAAAGAGGGCUUGUUUCGGCUUUCGUGUUGCUUUGCCUUUGGCUGCAAUGGAGGACCAAGAAGCAAUGCAUUGUAAUUGUGGUGGUUUGCUGUGGUGUAGCAAUUUAAAACCUCUCCAAACUGAAUGUUUCUCGAGUUAACAAGCGUUUGACUUGGAGGGGGAAAAAAUUCCAUUAAGAUAUCUCUGUUAGGGCAGAGUUUGUGAAGAAACACAUAAGCUUUCUCCUGAACACGUAAGUUCAGGGGGGUGUUCAACAUAUGCUUAACUUCAAGCAUGUAACUAAUUAGUAGUGUCAUUGAAACUAUUCCUGAGCCUAAUUCAAAUUACAUGCUCUAAUGACUGACUGAGUCUAAAGCAGAAAGGGCAGCAGGCACAACAAAGAAAUUCAUCAUGGUUUUGGUAGAAGUCACAGCAACUCUUGCACUUCACUGUAGCGUGUGCAAACUCUUUAAACCAUUUCUCUGCCGUGUAGAUAACAGAAAACCCUUCCAUGCAAGACGUACACACACAGUGUGGUAAAUUGACUGCAAAUAUUUUGGGUUUUGUUUGUUUAGAAGACUACAGUUUUUGAAAUCUUAAGGUAGUUUAUGCAUAGUAAGAAGCAUGUAUAUCAAAUCUCCACUCACGUUUGUGACUGCAGUUGAUGGCCUUAAAAGGAACUGAGUCUGGAUCAAUACCUGGAUUGGUAUGCUGUUAGACUGCUCCAAAAGAAACAAAGUAUGUACUGUGAGUAACCAUAUUAGAUUAAAAAAGAAAAUCAAAAGUCAUGUUCUCAGAGAUAGAAGCAGUCAACUGAGAUGCUGUGAUUACAGUUACGUGGCAUGUACAGAUAAUAUGAGACAGCCUUCUGCCUUCUUGAUUUGCUUACAUUACUUCCAGUUAAUUUUGGGCAACUUCCCACAACUUUAUAUGAAAUUUCCAAGUGAUAGAGAUCUCAUCUUCCACUGCCUGCAGGCAGUGUUCCUAAGUAAGUAAACAGAAAUGAUCAUAAGGGAGCGGAAUUCACUUGACUAAUAUUUGCUUCAGUCUUGAUGGUCAGGGUGCUGUGCUUGCAGGUGGGGAGGAGGUGGCAAGGGAGAGCUGCUUAUGGAAAGUGCUAAAAUGGAUGUUCUUAAAUAAAAUUUUGUUAGUCAAAGAAAAUAGUCUGUGAAAUGCUGCAGGGGGCAUGGAGAGGAGAAAGGUUGUUGCACUCCUGUAGAGUUUAAGAAGUAAAUUCUUAUGCAGAAGCGAUAUGACAUAAGAAUUAUGUUUUAUUGCAGCUUUCAAUGGUAAGUGAAGUAUUGAAUUUACAGACUUUUCUUUAUAUUGGAUAAACUGACAUGAAUGACAUCCUGUCUGAUCAUUGCCAAUGCAUAGUAGUUCAAUAUAUGCUUGUGUUUUAGUACAUACUCUUCAGAAUUCUAGUCAGCUUUUGCCUUACCGGAGGGUUUGUGUAUUUAAAACCAUUUAACAGAUUUUUGAAUAAACAAAAUGUGUCCGUCAGCUGAUAAUACUUUAUUUCCAAUAUUUUUGUGUGCAUGCCAUUUACACUUCAUUGCAGAGGGUGCCUCUAAAGACCCUGCAGUCAUAAUGGAAGAUAAAAAAUGUAUUUUAACAAAGAGCAGAAAAUAUUAUACAAAGCAAUAAUGAUAUAAAUACUUGGAAUGGCAAUAGGGAAAUCUGUGGAGAAGAAAACACUGGUGAGGCUUUGUGGAUGUCCACAGUCGGAACAGUGUCGUUUGGAAAGAUCUUAACAUUUCAUUCUGGUGCUUUGUACAAUGACAGUGUGAUAGGGGGUCAAAUGUAGGGGUUUAUUCUCAAUAUAUAUUUCUGUUAUUGUGUAGAAAACUAGGUGAGACUUUAUUUGUAGUUGUGUGUGUGUAUAAAUGUUUAUACAUGUCUAUUUAUUGAUAAUGAAGGGGAGAUCAUGUUUACUUGUAGUGUGUUUGGCCAUGGUUGUUGCUUUUGCUGGCUCCUGACUUAAGUUUAUAAGUGCUGCCUUUUAUCUUUUCUGGACUUCUCAUGCUCUUUUCAAGAGAAAAUACAUGCAAACAUUCUCCUUCUGCAUUAUUUUACAUUUAGUAACUAGGAGUAUGUCAUAUUUUAGACAGCUAGGUAAUUAGAUUGAGUAUCUUUUAAUUUGAAGGCUUUUUUUUUUUAUUUUUCAAUUUUUUAUUUAUUUUAUUUUAAGUAUUUCCUGUAACUAAACAAGAUACACAAAGCUAUUAUAUGUAGCUGUAAUAGGGAAGGACAGCUUUUUUCAAAUACUGUCCUUGGUGUGAGUUAGAGUAGGUGAGCACAGAAGAGAAGGUGAAUCUGCUGUUUCUGCUGGUGCAGUGGACAAAUGUGUAGGUAUUUCAAGCCUGGUAUAUGGUUAACUCUCUCGUUUCCUUCAAUGAAUAAAAUGGAUUCAUUGAUAGCAGUGAAUGGGCUGUUAUCAGGAGCGUUCUUCUCAUGAAUUGUUAAAAGGUGGAGCGAGAUGUGAUCCGGUGGAAGCUGCAGUCUUGGUAUCAGGAGUGCUACUUUUAGAAAGGCUGAGUCAACAAACUUAUAAUUCGCAAGCGAUCAAAGGACACACGUUUUUAACCUUGGUAUGAUUUCUUUUCUCUCAUCCUGUCAUAGCUGUCCUCCAGACUGUAGUGUCAUAUUUUACAGACUAUGUUUAGUUUCUUCAUUAAAGCUCAAACAUGAACUACAUGGUUUGAGGUAGUCAGGACAAAUGAGUGGCUUUUAGGGUCUACAGAUAUAUCAGGUUUGUCUGAAAAUUCCCUUGGUUCUUUUUGUCCCUCUUUGUAAUUUGCAGUUUGUCCAGAGCUCUCGUUCCUUUUUGUAUUAAGAGGAGCAAGUAGCAGAUAAUCCAGUUUUAGUAUGAGGUUGAGAUCCACAGUAUCCACAAAUCCCUAAGAGCAGUGUUUGAUUUGGUUAUGGGUAGUCAGGCUGCUAGGCAGAUGGUCUCAGCAAAUGGUAUCUUUGCAAUGAAGAAAAGGCUGCCUUGGAUGGAUUGAUUGGUUUACUUAUUUAUUUUUUUGUUUAUUUAUAGAGCUUUGUGGUUUGGCUCACAGCCAACAAUGUUUCCCGUUUCUGGUUUUGACUUACACCCAGUUACUUUUCAGUCUGCGUCCUCUGCACUCUAACUAAAUGGUGUGUGCCAGGCAACAUCAAGAGCAUUAUUGAUGCUGUCUGGUUGGUAGCCCUUCAGAGGCUUAGCUUCAGGUAUCUUUCAACUCUUGAUCUGAUUCUCUCCCACCCCCUAUAUUGGGGAAUGUUGUGUAAAGGUGUUUUGUGGUUUGUAGUGGAAUUCAAGCCUCAAAAUCCAAAGCCUCAGAAAAUCUGCGUCGUGUGCAAGCUCAUAGAAGCUAAUGCACAGCAAAUCAGAUUUCACAGUGUAAAGAUGCUGAAAUGCAGAAGUUGAGAUAACCACUUCGAGGCAAGCACACCUGUAUUGCAGUGGACACAAUGGUAAUCUUAGGGAGGUAAGUUGCUUAAGGAUUCUAAUUAACUUGUUAAUUACCAAAAUCUUCAAUAAUUCUUACUGAAGAUUUUGUAAACCUUUUUCAAAAAUAUUUGAUUUCUAGACAUAAUGAACUUUAUGGCAUUUUGUUCACUGAAUACAGAUUCUAUUUAGAUGUGAAGAAUUUCUAGUGCAUGUAUUAAAAAAAAAAAAAAAAAAAAAAAAAAAAAAAGGAAAAUAAAAUCCUUCCCUGUGAAGGUGAUGAGCCACUGGCACAGGUUGCCCAGAGAAGCUGUGGCUGCCCCAUCCCUGGCAGUGUUCAAGGCCAGGUUGGACACAGGGGCUUGGAGCAACCUGCUCUAGUGGAAGCUGUCCCUGCCCAUGGCAGGGCGGGUGGAACCAGACAAGCUUCCAACCCAAACCAUUAUAUGAUUCUAUGUAUUUUGUAUUGAAUCAUGUGUUUGAGAAACAGAAGAAGAAAUCAUGUUGACUAAAACCAGAAAUGAAACAGGUUGGUCUAAUACUUUCCAUAGCAAUGUAAAAUGCAAAAAAGUAAGAAACUACAGUAACAUAUGAUAUUUUUUUAAAGAUUUUUAGUACACUAGAAAUUUAAUAAAAUAUAGUUAGAAUUGAUUCAGAAAUCAGUUUUGAACUGAAACUUCUAGCUCUUCAGAAGUUGGUCUUUUGUAAUUUCUAUUAUGAUUAAACUUUUAAUAGCUCCAGUUAGCUUCUGCAAUCCCUUCAAAUAGGAAAAAAAAUUAAUCUAGAACUCUUCAUCUUAUUGACUGUGGAUUUUACUGUUAAAAAAAUGAAUUGCAGUUAGUGUACAAUUAGUGGCUAGUGGUUACAAUUAGUGGCUGAGCUACCACAAUGUAUUUCAAGAUGCUUAUUUUCACUUCGCAUUUCCUGAAAUGUUUAUAUCUACAAUAAAAUUAUAACUUCACAUAAAAGACAUUGUUGCUUCAUGUUUGCAGGAAAUGGCAAGAAGAAUGGCACAACCACUGUCUUCAUUAUCUUAAGAGGAAAAAAAAGCUUAGAAUGUCUAUCGAGGUUGCUGGAUCUAACCUGAACUGGUCUUGCAUUACAUUGAAAGGAAGCUAAGUCAUGAAAAGACCAUGGUGAUGAUAAGUUUCUCUUGCACUAUCCCAUUAGCUGCUAAUCUAUAAAAUAUUCUUUGGUCAGCAUGUUACAGCAAAUUGUCAUGGAAUGCAAGGAGUACCGUAGCCAUAAAAUGUAUAAGGAUAGAGCAGUAUAUGUGGCCUGGGUGGACGGUGUUUUAUACUGUUCAAUAAACAUCAGUUGAAGUGAC
Molecule: long non-coding RNA, 5075 nt
Organism: Strigops habroptila (Kakapo)
Lineage: Eukaryota; Metazoa; Chordata; Aves; Psittaciformes; Psittacidae
Exons: 2
Source: RefSeq, a predicted model, not a curated record